GGGACGUUUUCGGAUUACUGGGCGUAAGGGUGCGUAGACGGUAUAUUAAGUCUUCUGUUAAAUACUUCGGCCUAACCGAAGAUAUGCAGUAGAUACUGAUGUGCUAGAGGGUGAAAGAGAGAAGUGGAAUUCCCGGAGUAGCGGUAAAAUGCGUAGAUCUCGGGAGGAACACCGAUGGCGAAGGCAGCUUCUUGGUUCACACCUGACGUUGAGGCACGAAAGCGUGGGGAUCAAACAGGAUUAGAUACCCUGGUAGUCCACGCUGUAAACGAUAAUCACUAGAUGUUAGUUCAGCUCUGCUGAAUUAGUGUCAAAGCUAACGCGUUAAGUGAUUCGCCUGGGGAGUACGGCCGCAAGAUUAAAACUCAAAGGAAUUGACGGGGGUCCGCACAAGCGGUGGAACAUGUGGUUUAAUUCGACACUACGCGAGGAACCUUACCUGGGCUUGACAUGCUUAUGACAGUUGUAGAAAUACAAUCUUCUAAACUUUGUUUAGACAUUUGCACAGGUGCUGCAUGGCUGUCGUCAGCUCGUGUCGUGAGAUGUUGGGUUAAGUCCUUUAACGAGCGCAACCCUUGCUAUCAGUUGCUACUUGGAAACAAGGCACUCUGAUGGGACUGCCUGCGAAAGCAGGAGGAAGGUGGGGACGACGUCAAGUCAUCAUGGCCUUUAUGUCCAGGGCUACACACGUGUUACAAUGGCUGAAGACAAAGGGUUGCCAACCCGCGAGGGGGAGCUAAUCCCAGAAAGUCAGUCUAAGUUCAGAUUGAGGUCUGCAACUCGACCUCAUGAAGUUGAAAUCGCUAGUAAUCGCGUAUAAGUAACGGCGCGGUGAAUACGUUCUCGGACCUUGUACACACCGCCCGUCACACCACGAGAGCUGUUUGUACCCGAAGACAUCUUAGUUAACCCGUAAAGGGGAACGGAUGUUUAAGGUAUGGAGAGUGAUUGGGGGUGAAGUCGUAACAAGGUAACC
RNAcentral lists this ribosomal RNA (976 nucleotides) under uncultured bacterium. RNAcentral describes it as "bacterial SSU rRNA". It matches the Rfam family "Bacterial small subunit ribosomal RNA", at positions 535 to 1501 of the family's 1533-position model. The record is from RNAcentral.